This 506-nucleotide ribosomal RNA is filed under the name uncultured Glomus. RNAcentral describes it as "SSU rRNA". It matches the Rfam family "Eukaryotic small subunit ribosomal RNA", at positions 569 to 1076 of the family's 1831-position model. The record is from RNAcentral. Lineage: Eukaryota; Fungi; Glomeromycota; Glomeromycetes; Glomerales; Glomeraceae.
AGCAGCCGCGGUAAUUCCAGCUCCAAUAGCGUAUAUUAAAGUUGUUGCAGUUAAGAAGCUCGUAGUUGAACUUCGGGGUUAGCAGGUCGGUCGUGCCAUCGGUAUGAACUGGUCUCGCUGAUCCCUCCCUCUUGACGAACUGUGAUGCCAUUAAUUUGGUGUCGCAGGGAAUCAGGACUGUUACUUUGAAAAAAUUAGAGUGUUUAAAGCAGGCUCACGCUUGAAUACAUUAGCAUGGAAUAAUGAAAUAGGACGUUUGAUCCUAUUUUGUUGGUUUCUAGGAUUGACGUAAUGAUUAAUAGGGAUAGUUGGGGGCAUUAGUAUUCAAUUGUCAGAGGUGAAAUUCUUGGAUUUAUUGAAGACUAACUACUGCGAAAGCAUUUGCCUAAGGAUGUUUUCAUUAAUCAAGAACGAAAGUUAGGGGAUCGAAGACGAUCAGAUACCGUCGUAGUCUUAACCAUAAACUAUGCCGACUAGGGAUCGGAUGAUGUUAAUUUUUAAUGACU